AUGUCUUAAAAUAAUAUAAAUUUUAACAUUAUAACGCUCUAAAACGUUUUCUAAAAAUGUUUCUUAAAAUAAUUUCUACAGCCCGGCAUGUGCACGCCCCAUGAUACCUAAGGUUAAUGGGGGGGACAUGUGAGAAAUGUGUUUCUUAGAAGAGGAUGUUUAUCAGUUGGGGUAUAAGAACCAGCAGUAAUAUGGGAAGUUUUGGCUGGAUUCCUAUUCUUUCAGUCUCGCUUUAUCGACUAACUUGUCAGAAUGGAUCGCACCGAUCAAUUUAAACAGUCUGAAGACAGUUUAUUUACAGAUUUAACACUGCUCGAUUUCAUAGACGACGAGGAGGACUUCACACAUUACAGCGGUAUGUAUAUCUGGUUUAUUGUGAGAUAAAAUUACAACGUCACGGUGCAUGUCUCAUUUUGACGUGUUGUUAGCUAUAGUUGCAAAACCUUGUAUAAUAUUUGUAUACUAUGCAAUAUUGAAUUAUUAUAAUGGAAUUACCAGGGAGUUAUUCCGUAAUGUGGCCGUGACUGCGUGUAUCCAUUCCUUUCCAUUAGAUGCACCGAAAACAACAACUGUAAAAAGACCAGUUACGACAACACACCGCAACGCAGGUCACUUCCCGCACAGAGCAAGCAGCUGCCAAGUCAGACCAGGGAUUAACCCAGCCCAGCUCUGUCUUCUCAGCAGGAAGUUUAAACUCAUCAAGGACUUUUGGCCAAUGGAUCUCUGAGGAUAAAACUUUAUUCACAUUGUAAUCCUUGAGAAUUAGCUAUCAUUAUAGCUACUGCUAUUAUUCCAAAUAUGUUUGAAGUUUAUGUCACAAUAAUAAAUGCAUAUUUACUUGUAUUUGAUCAUAUGAACGUGAUGUGAUAAAACAGUAUGGGACUGAUAAACCUUAAGAGGUAAACUAUAACAUUUAUAGUUUAUGUUGAUGUUUUUGGUGUUAUAUCACUAAAUUGUAUAUUGUAUAUAUAGAAUCGAUGUGAGACUGUAAAUGAUUAUGUUUUAUUGAUUCCUAAUAAACAUCAAGUACAAUUGUAAUUUACUGUUACAAUUUCUAAUUGUUACUUUGGUAACAUUGUCUGAUUGCUAUGCUGGAUUAUCCAUCAUUAGGGAGUUG
This 1117-nucleotide long non-coding RNA is filed under the name Lepisosteus oculatus (spotted gar). Its description in RNAcentral is "lncRNA (ENSLOCG00000021444.1)". Lineage: Eukaryota; Metazoa; Chordata; Actinopteri; Semionotiformes; Lepisosteidae. The record is from RNAcentral.